This 440-nucleotide ribosomal RNA is filed under the name uncultured bacterium. Its description in RNAcentral is "partial 16S ribosomal RNA". It matches the Rfam family "Bacterial small subunit ribosomal RNA", at positions 338 to 795 of the family's 1533-position model. The record is from RNAcentral.
CCUACGGGUGGCAGCAGUGGGGAAUAUUGCACAAUGGGGGAAACCCUGAUGCAGCGACGCCGCGUGAGUGAAGAAGUCCUUCGUUAUGUAAAGCUCUAUCAGCAGGGAAGAAAAUGACGGUGCCUGAGUAAUACGCCCCGGCUGACUACGUGCCAGCAGCCGCGGGAAUACGUAGGGGGCAAGCGUUAUCCGGAUUUACUGGUGGUAAAGUGAGCGUAGACGGCAGUGCAAGUCUGGAGUGAAAGGCGGGGGCUCAACCCCCGGACUGCUCUGGAAACUGUACGGCUGGAGUGCAGGAGAGGGAAGUGGAAUUCCGAGUGUAGCGGUGAAAUGCGUAGAGAUUAGGAGGAACACCAGUGGCGAAGGCGGCUUACUGGACUGUAACUGACGUUGAGGCUCGAAAGCGUGGGGAGCAAACAGGAUUAGAUACCCUAGUAGUC